Molecule: RNA transcript, 2853 nt
Organism: Paralichthys olivaceus (Japanese flounder)
Lineage: Eukaryota; Metazoa; Chordata; Actinopteri; Pleuronectiformes; Paralichthyidae
Gene: hnf1a
Gene name: HNF1 homeobox a
Source: RefSeq, a predicted model, not a curated record
AUGUAGACUUCUCUUGAUACUUUUUUUAACCAUCCAGCAUACAGGCAUUAAUGAACACAAGCAAAAACAAUACUGAAAGGAAAUACAAGUCAUUUUCUGAAGAAAUUUCAGAGACGACUUAAAAAGUUGUCAUCUCUACCUCUUCUCUUCUUCUCUCUUCACAGUGUGUGUGGAACAGGCCACAACCUGAAUCACUGGGCUGCUCUCAUGUGUAGAUGGCACAACAGCACUCUCAAGUGGCUCAUACUGCACAACAGGUCAUGCUGUGGUUCCAUUCAGCUAAUCUAAGAAUAAAUCUGUUCAAUUUAUUAUGUUAAACUUUGACCUAUAGACAUUUUUAAUUCCCUGCUUCAAAAUUAAACUGUGGAAAAUCAUAAUUCAACAUUUUUUCUGUUUCCCAAAAGUCAGCUCCUGUGUGGAAUCACAAUAUCUGCACAUAUAAAUGUACCUCACAACUUUUCUGUUAUGUUUUCAUAACUUGCCCUCUGUGGCUGAUUUGAGAGGCGAUCAGGUUUCCUCCGCAGCUCUGUUUGCAGUUAAGAUCUCCUCACUUUUAUUUAUUGUUUUUUUAAACUGUACUUUGGUCACUGUUGGGGACUGACAAGAGUGGGGACAAAGUUCACAGGGCGCAUGUAAGGAGGAGGGGGUGAAGAGGAGGAAGGUUAAAAAAGAAAAAAGAAAAUUGACCUUUGAAAGCAAAACAGCAGGUGGAGAGCUAAAAACAGGCAGCUCAGGACACCUCGGCAGGAAAUUCAACACAGAGGAAAAUGGAAGUUUGAAUUCUGUGGAGCUGAAUUGGGACUACGGCUAAAAUGAGACCCAUCGCUGGCUGUCCAGCUGUCCUUUGAGCGUGGUAGUGCACAUAACAGCAGUGUUUGUUUGCGAAGCAGUAGCGAGGUAAGGCAUCAGACUAAUGGAGGGAGAGGAGACAGCCAGGGCAGCCAUGCCGAGGCCGAGCCGUCUGACCUCCCUUCAGGAGCAGAUGAUCUGGGCCCUGCUGGAAUCCGGACUGUCCCGGGACGUCCUGGUCCAAGCCCUGGGGGAACUGGAGCAGGACAGGGCGAGCGCUGGUGCUGAAAAGGGAGAGAGGGGGGACGGCGAGAGCUCAGAAGAGGGAGAAAUGGAUUUCCCACCGCCUAUAUUCCGAGAGCUGGAGAAACUUUCCCCAGAGGAUGCGGCCAAACUGAAGGUAGAAGUCGACCAGCUCCUGCAGGAGGACCCCUGGCAUGUUGCAAAAAUGGUGAAAAGCUACAUGCAGCAGCACAAUCUCCCUCAGAGAGAGGUGGUGGAGUCCACGGGACUCAACCAGUCCCACCUCUCACAGCACCUCAACAAGGGAACGCCCAUGAAGAACCAGAAGAGAGCGGCUCUGUACAGCUGGUACGUCAAGAAGCAGUGCGAGAUCAGCCAGCAAUUUACCAAUGCCAAACAUGGCAUUGCAUCGGUGGAUGAGCAAGAGGAUGUGAGGAAAGGCCGGAGGAACAGGUUCAAGUGGGGUCCGGCAUCGCUGCAGAUCCUUUUCCAUGCAUACGAACAACAGAAGAACCCCAGCAAGGAGGAGAGAGAGGGGUUGGUGGAGGAGUGUAACAGGGCAGAAUGUCUCCAGAGGGGAGUGUCCCCCUCUCAGCUUGCUGGAUUGGGCUCCAACCUGGUUACUGAAGUUCGGGUGUACAACUGGUUUGCAAACCGCCGAAAAGAGGAGGCCUUCCGUCACAAACUGGCCCUCGACACGCCUUUCACCAACCAAUCUGCCUCAUCCUCUAUCCUCAACCUUCCAAGCCCGGAGCAUGGUAACACCCUAACACCCUUCAGACAAGCACAAACAGGUGUGAAAUACAGCCAGCAAAUCCUGUGUGACACUAUGAGCUCAGCCAGAGGUAGCGGAGGAGAGAGAGUGGGACGUCUAGUGGUCAGCCCUGUCCAACUGGAGCCCAGCCACACACUCCUCGAGACCCAUAGCCACAAGCCUGUGUCCAGCAGUGGCCCACUGCCCCCAGUAAGCACUCUGACCUCCCUCCACAGUCUGUCUUCCUCCCCUGCUUCUUCCCAGAGCCUCAUCAUGGCCUCACUGCCCAGCGUCAUGAGCCUGGGGGAGUCCUCACUUCUCAUCGGUUUAGCCUCCACGCAGCCUCAGACCGUACCCAUCCUAAACAAUGUGGGGGGUGCGUUCACAACGCUUCAGCCAAUCUCAUUCCAGCAGCAGCUUCACGCCUCUUCACAUCUGCCAAUAUCACAACAGCUUCAGAGCCACAUGAGUGCCAGUCCGUUCAUGGCCACCAUGACGCAGCUGCCCUGUCACAUGUACAACAAGUCGGACUCACCACAGUACCACCCGUCCAGUCUGCUGUCACAAACCAUGGUCAUCACUGACAGCAGCAGCCUGGGGAAUCUGACCAGCCUUGCCACUGUCAGACCGAUUCUAACAGCAGAUCCUGAGGAACAGACAGACCCGACUUUACAGGAAGAGUCUCUGCACCUGCAGCCUCACACACCUGGGCCAGCAGCUUGGCUUCGUUAGCUGUCUGACAACCUCAUGAUGACAGCAACAAUCCAAGGAGUCACAACUUCUGGUCAAGAAAUAAUCUGAAACUUCAAAAAAGCAUGCACAUCCAAACUUGCUGCAUCUUCCCAGAGCUUGGAGCUGUAUCCUGCGUCUCAGACGACAGACAGACACCGGUCUCACCUCCUCUCACCUUCACCAGAUAUCAGCUCCUACAUCCCUACACAAAUGGUCUCUACAGCACAGUAAAGGGUGCUCGGAUAAUGCAGUGCCUCCUCAAUAUGAGAUGGACUGAUGGUGUUUUGUGAUGGACAGCUACCUCUGGUGUACGUCUCCAGAGAAACCUGGAGUCU